GAUGAACGCUGGCGGCGUGCUUAACACAUGCAAGUCGAACGAUGAAGCCCAGCUUGCUGGGUGGAUUAGUGGCGAACGGGUGAGUAACACGUGUGUAACCUGCCCUUAACUCUGGGAUAAGCCUGGGAAACUGGGUCUAAUACCGGAUAGGAGCGUCCACCGCAUGGUGGGUGUUGGAAAGAUUUAUCGGUUUUGGAUGGACUCGCGGCCUAUCAGCUUGUUGGUGAGGUAAUGGCUCACCAAGGCGACGACGGGUAGCCGGCCUGAGAGGGUGACCGGCCAUACUGGGACUGAGACACGGCCCAGACUCCUACGGGAGGCAGCAGUGGGGAAUAUUGCACAAUGGGCGCAAGCCUGAUGCAGCGACGCCGCGUGAGGGAUGACGGCCUUCGGGUUGUAAACCUCUUUCAGUAGGGAAGAAGCGAAAGUGACGGUACCUGCAGAAGAAGCACCGGCUAACUACGUG
Molecule: ribosomal RNA, 466 nt
Filed under: uncultured bacterium
Lineage: Bacteria
Description: partial 16S ribosomal RNA
Rfam family: Bacterial small subunit ribosomal RNA
Source: RNAcentral